UCAUUAUGGACGAUAACGUUGAAAGGACUGAUAUAAGAUAAUGAAUUUUUGAAAGCAUUUCGUUCGAACAAAGAGUUUCUUCGCUGAAUCAGCAUUUCGCUUAAAAUUUAAAACUAUCUUUCGCUAGUUUAAAUGGAGUUUACAGUUAAAUUCCUUUUAAUAUUCUUAGCCACUGCACCGGCGAGAACACUUGCCAAACACAAUACUCAGUUUGGGUCCCCCGGGAUACGGAGAAAUAUUCUGCUUGGAAUUCAGAACGUAAACUAUCCAUAUUUAAAGAUACUUUUAAUUACGCUCGCACCGCAGGCAAACUAUGCACCACUCCACAGAAGUAGAAAAACGACACACACCAACGUAGAGAUCGGUCCGGGCUCCUUCAAGCAAAGGCAGACUAACGAACGACUGCCAGAGGAAUAUUUAGUAAUGCAGUUCAAAAAACUAUUUGCUAAGAAAAAGAAAAUGGAAAAUAAUAAUUGAAAAACCAAAAAGCUGUUUUGUAACUCAAAUAAAACUUUACAUAAUUUCGAAAGAGAGAAUCAUAAUGACAGGUCGAGAUAUAGCGAAGUAUAGGAUAGAAG
Long non-coding RNA from Pararge aegeria (speckled wood butterfly), 578 nucleotides. RefSeq lists it as uncharacterized. The record is from RefSeq and is a predicted model, not a curated record. Lineage: Eukaryota; Metazoa; Arthropoda; Insecta; Lepidoptera; Nymphalidae. The transcript is spliced from 3 exons.